This 232-nucleotide unclassified non-coding RNA is filed under the name Hevea brasiliensis (rubber tree). The record is from RNAcentral. Lineage: Eukaryota; Viridiplantae; Streptophyta; Magnoliopsida; Malpighiales; Euphorbiaceae.
AUGACUUUGAAGAAAGUGGACCUCUCCAAGAAGUUUCUGAUUCUGAGUCAGAGAAAGAAGUAACAGACAAAGAACAUGUGUUAGAAUCAAAAAAUAUUACUGUUAACUUGAAUGUCUCCAAUGCUGAAGUUAUGCAUCCACAUAAAUUUCUUCCACAAGACACUACCAACAGUGGGGACAAGAAGGAAGAUUCAUCCAAUAUUGUUGGAAACAGUGUUGCAUCUGUUACACC